RNAcentral lists this ribosomal RNA (253 nucleotides) under uncultured bacterium. RNAcentral's name for it is "partial 16S ribosomal RNA". It matches the Rfam family "Bacterial small subunit ribosomal RNA", at positions 524 to 776 of the family's 1533-position model. The record is from RNAcentral.
UACGGAGGAGGCAAGCGUUAUCCGGAAUUAUUGGGCGUAAAGCGUCCGUAGGUGGUUUAGUAAGUCUGCUGUUAAAGCGCGGGGCUUAACUCCGUAUCGGCAGUGGAAACUACUAGACUAGAGUGUGGUAGGGGUAGAGGGAAUUCCCAGUGUAGCGGUGAAAUGCGUAGAUAUUGGGAAGAACACCGGUGGCGAAGGCGGAUCUCUGGGCCAUUACUGACGCUGAGGAGCGAAAGCGUGGGGAGCGAACAGG